RNAcentral lists this ribosomal RNA (755 nucleotides) under Bacillus cereus. RNAcentral's name for it is "bacterial SSU rRNA". It matches the Rfam family "Bacterial small subunit ribosomal RNA", at positions 50 to 784 of the family's 1533-position model. Lineage: Bacteria; Bacillati; Bacillota; Bacilli; Caryophanales; Bacillaceae. The record is from RNAcentral.
CUAUCAUGCAAGUCGAGCGAAAUGGAUUAAGAGCUUGCUCUUAUGAAGUUAGCGGCGGACGGGUGAGUAACACGUGGGUAACCUGCCCAUAAGACUGGGAUAACUCCGGGAAACCGGGGCUAAUACCGGAUAAUAUUUUGAACUGCAUGGUUCGAAAUUGAAAGGCGGCUUCGGCUGUCACUUAUGGAUGGACCCGCGUCGCAUUAGCUAGUUGGUGAGGUAACGGCUCACCAAGGCAACGAUGCGUAGCCGACCUGAGAGGGUGAUCGGCCACACUGGGACUGAGACACGGCCCAGACUCCUACGGGAGGCAGCAGUAGGGAAUCUUCCGCAAUGGACGAAAGUCUGACGGAGCAACGCCGCGUGAGUGAUGAAGGCUUUCGGGUCGUAAAACUCUGUUGUUAGGGAAGAACAAGUGCUAGUUGAAUAAGCUGGCACCUUGACGGUACCUAACCAGAAAGCCACGGCUAACUACGUGCCAGCAGCCGCGGUAAUACGUAGGUGGCAAGCGUUAUCCGGAAUUAUUGGGCGUAAAGCGCGCGCAGGUGGUUUCUUAAGUCUGAUGUGAAAGCCCACGGCUCAACCGUGGAGGGUCAUUGGAAACUGGGAGACUUGAGUGCAGAAGAGGAAAGUGGAAUUCCAUGUGUAGCGGUGAAAUGCGUAGAGAUAUGGAGGAACACCAGUGGCGAAGGCGACUUUCUGGUCUGUAACUGACACUGAGGCGCGAAAGCGUGGGGAGCAAACAGGAUUAGAUA